AACGAUGCCUCUGGAAAGCGGUGGGGCGCUAAGCGCCACACCCGCCGAUGGGGAAAGGCGCUUGGGGGGACUACGCGCCGAAUCUCUCAGGCGCCCGUGACUGGGUAAGGACAGAGGGAGAGGG
RNAcentral lists this non-coding RNA (124 nucleotides) under Mycobacterium triplex. RNAcentral's name for it is "Glycine sequence". It matches the Rfam family "Glycine riboswitch aptamer". Rfam says of the family: This family represents the bacterial glycine riboswitch. Glycine riboswitches usually consist of two metabolite-binding aptamers domains with similar structures in tandem. Lineage: Bacteria; Bacillati; Actinomycetota; Actinomycetes; Mycobacteriales; Mycobacteriaceae. The record is from RNAcentral.